RNAcentral lists this transfer RNA (63 nucleotides) under Achilidae gen. 1 sp. n. 1 SX-2018. Its description in RNAcentral is "tRNA-Asn". Lineage: Eukaryota; Metazoa; Arthropoda; Insecta; Hemiptera; Achilidae. The record is from RNAcentral.
UUAAUUGAAGCUAAAAUAGAAGCAAUUCACUGUUAAUGAAAAAAAUGGAUAAACCCAAUUAAA